AUUGCUUUUAGGGGAAUCAGCAACGAAGAGAAAGUACAUCUGAGGCAAAAACUGGUAUCCCAUUUAAGAAAAGAAAACUAUCAGACAACUCUCAUGUUGGCUAUGCUCAUCUCAAAAAUUGCUCGAAUUGAUUAUCCAGUAGAAUGCUAGAGAAUAUUAUAUUUUUUCAUCUCUUUCUUUAUAACUGUUAUAAUAUCAGCUAAAGAAAAAAAAACAAUUAAAGACAUAAAUUUAUUUGAUUCCUCUUAGCUCUCCUUAAAUCCCUAAAUCCUAAUAUACCCAAACCAGCUCCC
Long non-coding RNA from Humulus lupulus (European hop), 293 nucleotides. RefSeq lists it as uncharacterized. NCBI's taxonomy places the organism in Eukaryota, Viridiplantae, Streptophyta, Magnoliopsida, Rosales, Cannabaceae. The record is from RefSeq and is a predicted model, not a curated record. The transcript is spliced from 3 exons.